Cordylochernes scorpioides is the source of this 77-nucleotide non-coding RNA. The record is from the annotation of a GenBank genome assembly. Lineage: Eukaryota; Metazoa; Arthropoda; Arachnida; Pseudoscorpiones; Chernetidae.
ACCUGGGUUGGUGGAAGAAUGGCCUAAACCAUUGGUUUUCAACCAAUACGACCCGGGUUUGAUUCCCGUAUUGGGCA